Molecule: long non-coding RNA, 4371 nt
Organism: Populus nigra (black poplar)
Lineage: Eukaryota; Viridiplantae; Streptophyta; Magnoliopsida; Malpighiales; Salicaceae
Exons: 4
Source: RefSeq, a predicted model, not a curated record
UUGGUUUUGUGAAAUGAAAGAUGGGUUGCAGAGAAAGAGACCAAUGGAAUUGCAUUUAGCUCAACAUCUGAUCACAGGUCCUUCUUCAUAUUCUCAAAGCAGAUCAUUCUAUUAUAAGAGGAAGAGGAAGAAUCUUGUUUUUUCAAUGAUUAAUUGGGAUUUGCUAGUUAAGUUGAGUCUUGGUUAACAGAAACAAUGAAGGGAGACAAGAAGCAGAAUGCUAGGGGUUUAUUGGCUUAACUUCAAAGUUGGUGGACAAAUGUUGAUGUUUAUAUCGCCACCAAAACUUUUCUGUGGACUUGGAAGGUCAUAAGAAAAUUUGGCAGUAACUGCUACUUUGGAUAGGUGCUCUGUCAAAGUGAUUUGAAAUUGAAUAAUGCAACCUCUUACAAGCCAGGUACAGCUCUAAAUAUAUGCUUUAUGAAUUAAAAAAUUCAAGAAAUGAUGUUGAAUGAUAUGCUUUUAAUUAGUAGUAGAUUGUCAGGAGCCACCAUCUUAGAUGGAACAUGGAAGAAUAUAUACAGUAUUUCAAACUUUAGAUUUUAUUGUAAUAUGAAGAAAAGAACUGGGAAACAUGACAUGCUGUGUGUAUUUUUUUUUUUGAAGAAAAAUACUAGUACUCAGUAGUGCCCAGGUGUUGUAUUUUCAUGGUGAAAGAUUAUCCUUUUUGUAAUUUUCUAUGAAUCUGUUUUCACUGUUCCAAUAGAAUUUUAUGGAAACAAAAAAACUCGGUGUGCUUGCUACUCAGUUACCAAAUAUUUGUGCUUAUAGGUGCUUAAUUAGCAUUUCAAUGUUAACAAGAUGAAUACAUCCGAAGGUAUUGGUUUUCUGUGCAAUUUCCAACAGAAACUUAUUGGAAUAACCAAUAAAACAGGAACUUAGAUGUAUAGUUAGUGGUACUGUACCAUAAUGUCAUUAUUGGAUUUGGGACCAAACACAGCCCUAAAUUUAGAAAAUAAAAAAAGCUCAGCACGGUGGCUAUACAUAUUCCAUUGACCACUGGCUAAUGUUAUCUCUUUCACUGGGCAGUCUUUACUACUUGAUUUCAGGUCUUGAGUUCAGAGAGAAGUUGAACAACUUGUUUGUUUUUUGUUUUCUGGAUUGUUAGUAUGAAUAACUGUUGCAUAGUAAUGGGCACCGUGUAGGUCAAGUUUUCACAUAUGAAAUGCUUGAUUUGAAGUUGCAAUGUCUCCUAGCAAAGAAACUGUAUUCUAUCUAUGGUAUGUCUUGGCAUUUUAUUGUUGACAAUUUGUAAUUUUCUUAUAGAAUCUUAAAUCUGUAACUUCUAGUUAAGUGGUAAUGUAAAUUGCUUGCAGCAUGAAAGAUUUAAAUAGUUUAUUUGAUAUGUCAACUCCCGUCACAUGCAUGCCGUAUUAAAGGUUGGCUCCUUAUAGUGCAAGUAUUCUAUAUUAAAGGUCUUUAGUGUUCAAUGGAAAAUUAGAGAUUCACUUUAUUCUGUAGCUACUGUAAUUUUACUAGUGUCAUCGGUUGGUUGAGUGCUUUUGAAAAACAAAAGCAGGCAUUCUGGACCUAUAAAAUUAUGGAGAUGUCCAUGUCUGCCUAGCAACUUUUUGCUUGAAUAUGCAAGUACAGUGAUUACGCAGAGAAUGAACUGCAUGAACCAUUGAGAGUUAUUGCCUAAUAGUCUGACAUGUUGAUAUGUUAGAAUCUGUAAACAGCAUGUUGCUCCCUUUUGAGUUUGCUUUUCUCAUUAGAUCUUUUCUCUGUGGCUGACGUUGGUUGAAUAUAAAAUGAAAAUGGGGAAGAUUCACCACACUAACAUUCAUUGAGAAAGCAAGGAUUAGAGAAUCAUGGCAAAUGAUUUGUAGGACCAUUAAAGUACAAACCUCGCUCAGUUUUAGGGAACUAAAGGAUAAGUAUAUUAGGUUUAAAUCCCACAUCCUUGGCAAGAUAUGUAUUGAGAAUCCUUUACCUGCGUGUAUGAGACAGGUCUAUUGGACAGCACUAACAGUAAACACUUAGCAUUUUCUGAUGUUAUUUAUGAUAAUUGUUUUCUUUUUGUUUUUCAAAUUGUUAUCACGGUUCAUUACGGAUCAACCUUGUAUAAUGCACUCUUCUGAAAACAAAUAUUUUUUUUGUGCUUGGCUGCCAAUGAGUCAAGUUUAUGGCUGAAUAGUGGCUGAAUAAUCAUGUGGAGGAUCCUGUUUAAUGAUAUUUAUUUGUGAUUGUUCUCUCCAGAACGAUCCCAAAAAAGAAACUUGACUUGUUCAGGUGUUUCUGCUUUUCUCUCUCGCUACACACCCUGCUUGGAUCUUUUGCCCCUGGAUUGCAGUAUUGCACCUAAGACGGCAAUGGCUGUAGAACAGUUUCACACUGCUAUAUGGCAUUCUGUCGUUGGUGUAGACUGAAUGCUGCAAAAGUGGGUUGAGACGUCUGAGGUGCUGGUUCCAAGGAUAUUCUUGCCCGUGUUAUGAUGCCAAACUGACCAAGUCCUCCAAGAACGCCGUGAAAUAGGUCACUAUUCUGCUUCUCUGAGCAAUUUAAUACUUCUCCCUUUCCUGCACGGAGUUUCAGUUAUUUUACAGAAGGAUUUGUGAGAUGCACAUGAUAUUUUUUUCAUGCCAUGUUUGCAUAUUUGUGUGUGGUCGUGCACUCUAAUUUUUGUACUUGAACAUCAAAUUAUUGGCAAUGGUCAAAAUAUCUUUGGUGGGAGCAAGGUCUAGGCACAGCAUGCAUAGCAAGGACAAUGCCAUGAAUACUUCAUUUGACCCCGGUCCCAUUUGCCUAGAUGCAAAUCAUUCAUGUGUGUUGCCUACUGUAUUUUCGUUUUCUCCCUUCUCCUUUUUUUUUUUUAAAAAAAACAAAACAAAAAUCUUUUUUUCGCUAUUUUACUAAUUUUACUCGAACGAACCUGUAACAACUUCCAGCUGAUUGACAUUACUGAUCUGAGGGCCAUGCCGAAACGCCUGCCCACUAACCCCAGCAUUAGACAAAGUACCGCCAACAGUUAAAUGUAAGUAGUCUGUCCAUGAUUUUGGUGCUAACCCAUACUUGAGGCAUUCACGCAGGAUAUCUAUCCACAACUCACCGCCAGGGGCAUCCACAUAUGGAUAGUUUCCACUGUAAACAUGCAUUUUAUGAACCUGGAGUGAUUCCAUAUUGAUUACAACUCCUUGGUGGGCUUGUGCCUGACCCUGGAGUGAGUGGCUGUGGCCUCUAGCUGCAACUGUCAGCUCUGAAUCAGGACCCAUCUGCCAAAUAUGCCUUAUCGUAGUGGCAAUAUCAGAAACUGACUUUGGAUAUAGUACUGCCAAAGGUAGUAGCUGAAACCUAUUGCCGAAGUCUUUGGCUGCAUGGUGAACUUCAUCAAAGCUGAAAUGCCCGUCAACGGAGAGGGUUCUCAACGAAGAAGGGUUGCUGGAAAAACAAAGGUUUAUUGUUAUGGUCAUGCAGCUCAGGAACAAAAUCAAGAAGCUUCUUACGAAAAGCAUAUUGGUUUGCUUGAGGAUACUCACAGGUAGAUAUCUCAUUUAUUUUUUCAGUUGGAAAGUUGAGGAAAGAAAGGUGAUUAAGCUGGUUUUCUUUCACGUUUGUAUGCAAAAAGAGCAAAAGAAGUGGUAUGGAGGAGCCAAGGGUUGGGGGGGGAAUUUAAAGGUGAAGAUUUUGGGUGGCUGAGUCAACCAAUAUUCAGUUUUAAGAAUCCGUAUGAAGACUGCCUACUUGUUAUGACUUUCUUUUGGUUCUUCUUUUUGUGCUCUUUGAUUUAUAACAGAAGCCAUCAAACACAGAUGCCAAGUUGAAGAAAAAAAGGCACAGGAAAGAAAGAUUUCACAAAUCUUUGCACCUUUUCCCAACAGUUGCAACCACAAUCUCACCUUUUCCACCAAAGACAAACAUGCCUCGAAAUUUAUCUCUCUUACCAUGUUAAAGGGAACUUUGUCUAUAUUUAGAAAAAUGAGAUACUCAAUGGCUUCGCCGGUUUGUGUAUCCCUCCGCCUCUGAUGACAGGUAUGCCCAUACCUUUGUCUCCCAUACAUGAAUUAUUAUAGAUUAUGUUUUUCUCAUAUAUAUGGCUGUCGGAAUGUAAGCAUCGCGUAUCUGCUUUGAGAUCAGAUGAGAGGCACUAUGGGGCCUCCCUUUGAUUUAUUUGAAAGGGAGGGACGAUCAGGUGGGGUUUUUUAUGGGUCCAUAAGACACGUGAAGUGCUAAUCCAUGUGUGCCAGUGUGAAGAUGUAAGAAGAAGAGUACUGUAGAUGGGGAUGACAGCUUGAGGGAAAGCACUGAAAGACUCCUCUGCUACCUCUCUAUUGUUUGUUGUUUUGAAGCCUUAGUUCCCAGCAAAGUGACAAGUCUGAAGGAUUCUCUUGUUUAUUUGUUUGCAAGUGCAAUUAAAUUACAGUAGUUCAAUUA